CCCUUAGAUGUUCUGGGCCGCACGCGCGCUACACUGACGAAUGCAACGAGCUUAUAACCUUGGCCGAAAGGUCUGGGUAAUCUCCAAAUUUCGUCGUGAUGGGGAUAGAUUAUUGCAAUUAUUAAUCUUCAAUGAGGAAUGCCUAGUAAGCGCAAGUCAUCAGCUUGCGUUGAUUACGUCCCUGCCCUUUGUACACACCGCCCGUCGCUCCUACCGAUUGAAUGGUCCGGUGAAGCGUUCGGACCGUGGCCUUUGGACGGUUCGCCGUCUGUUGGCUGCGGGAAGUUCGUUAAACCUUAUCAUUUAGAGGAAGGAGAAGUCGUANCA
Molecule: ribosomal RNA, 327 nt
Filed under: uncultured eukaryote
Lineage: Eukaryota
Description: partial 18S ribosomal RNA
Rfam family: Eukaryotic small subunit ribosomal RNA
Source: RNAcentral